This 507-nucleotide ribosomal RNA is filed under the name uncultured Glomeromycotina. RNAcentral describes it as "partial small subunit ribosomal RNA". It matches the Rfam family "Eukaryotic small subunit ribosomal RNA", at positions 591 to 1092 of the family's 1831-position model. Lineage: Eukaryota; Fungi; Glomeromycota. The record is from RNAcentral.
CCAAUAGCGUAUAUUAAAGUUGUUGCAGUUAAAAAGCUCGUAGUUGAAUUUCGGGAUUGACCCAUCGGUCGUGCCUUAAGGGGUAUGAACUGGUGUAGUCAAUUUCUCACCUUCUGGAGAACCGCGAUGUCCUUAAUUGGGUGCCGCGAGGAACCAGGACCUUUACUUUGAAAAAAUUAGAGUGUUUAAAGCAGGCAUUUUUGCUUGAAUACAUUAGCAUGGAAUAAUAAAAUAGGACGGCAUGAUUCUAUUUUGUUGGUUUCUAGGAUCACCGUAAUGAUUAAUAGGGAUAGUUGGGGGCAUUAGUAUUCAAUUGUCAGAGGUGAAAUUCUUGGAUUUAUUGAAGACUAACUAUUGCGAAAGCAUUUGCCAAGGAUGUUUUCAUUAAUCAAGAACGAAAGUUAGGGGAUCGAAGACGAUCAGAUACCGUCGUAGUCUUAACCAUAAACUAUGCCGACUAGGAAUCAGACGAUGUUAAUUUUUUAAUGACUCGUUUGGCACCUUACG